This 547-nucleotide ribosomal RNA is filed under the name uncultured Glomus. Its description in RNAcentral is "SSU rRNA". It matches the Rfam family "Eukaryotic small subunit ribosomal RNA", at positions 548 to 1098 of the family's 1831-position model. Lineage: Eukaryota; Fungi; Glomeromycota; Glomeromycetes; Glomerales; Glomeraceae. The record is from RNAcentral.
UUGGAGGGCAAGUCUGGUGCCAGCAGCCGCGGUAAUUCCAGCUCCAAUAGCGUAUAUUAAAGUUGUUGCAGUUAAAAAGCUCGUAGUUGAAUUUCGGGAUUAGUACGUCGGUCGUGCCUUAGGUACGUACUGGUGUUACUGGUUCCUACCUUCUGACGAACCAUCAUGUCAUUAAUUUGGUGUGGUGAGGAAUCAGGACUGUUACUUUGAAAAAUUAGAGUGUUUAAAGCAGGCUCGCGCUUGAAUACAUUAGCAUGGAAUAAUGAAAUAGGACGUUGAUCCUAUUUUGUUGGUUUCUAGGAUUGACGUAAUGAUUAAUAGGGAUAGUUGGGGGCAUUAGUAUUCAAUUGUCAGAGGUGAAAUUCUUGGAUUUAUUGAAGACUAACUACUGCGAAAGCAUUUGCCAAGGAUGUUUUCAUUAAUCAAGAACGAAAGUUAGGGGAUCGAAGACGAUCAGAUACCGUCGUAGUCUUAACCAUAAACUAUGCCGACUAGGGAUCGGAUGAUGUUAAUUUUUUAAUGACUCAUUCGGCGCCUUACGGGAAAC